UGCGACCCAAUCCUAUGCUAUGAAAACUAUGCCAGUGGCGUUGUAGUAUGCUAGUCGCAGAUGACAAUGUGCUCAUGCUCAGCUCAGCGAGGUUCUUAGUUUUAGCAGCCACAAGGAUGAUGGUUCUAUGCGCCAUGGGUUACUGGGCUAGUGCAGCAGGAGCUACCGCUAGGAAUACUAUUUCUUACCCUGCCCCAACUGCACUAUACAUCACUGGACCAUAUGUAGCCCACCUGUAGUUUUUACUUCUGUAGUUUAGAUGUUGUUUUUUCGUAAAAUAAGGAUGGAGCUUGGGGUCAAGUACAAGGUUCCCUGAUGGCUAAAUUCCUCUAGUUCCUUUGUUCAUCCAUGAACAUGUCUCAGCUCUGUCGCUGCUUGCCAUUCAGAUCCCCUGUUUCUCUCUCUGUUU
RNAcentral lists this long non-coding RNA (409 nucleotides) under Setaria italica (foxtail millet). RNAcentral describes it as "long non-coding RNA (SITA_LNC006182)". Lineage: Eukaryota; Viridiplantae; Streptophyta; Magnoliopsida; Poales; Poaceae. The record is from RNAcentral.